Long non-coding RNA from Cyprinus carpio (common carp), 1093 nucleotides. RefSeq lists it as uncharacterized. NCBI's taxonomy places the organism in Eukaryota, Metazoa, Chordata, Actinopteri, Cypriniformes, Cyprinidae. The record is from RefSeq and is a predicted model, not a curated record. The transcript is spliced from 4 exons.
ACAAGAGACAGGACCUGUUGAGGCAGAGUUUUAUGGAUUGAGCCCAGAUCUGUAAAAAAACAUCAUCCAGAACACUAUGUUUUCCAAGAGGAGUUUACGAAUCACAUACUCAGUUGCCGUUUCAUCUGUAUGUUUGCAGUGCUGAUAAAUAAAGUCUCUCUGCAGGUCACAAUAGAGGCGGUUAUCGGUGGUUCUGUUGUUCUGCCAUGUUCAGCUGAACAUGAUCUUACACUUCAAGAUACUGAAGUGCAUUGGAGAGACAAAGACAGCAAGAUUGUGUUUGAUAUAAUUAAGGGUAAAGAUACAGUAGCUGAACAAGACCCACAGUACAAGAACAGAGCUGAAACUUUCCCUGAUGAGUAUCUGAGAGGAAACUUCUCCCUCAAACUCAACAAUCUUCAACACACUGACACAGGAAAAUUCAGCUGCUUCACCACACCCUCAAAUGAACAGAAGACUAUACAGUUGAUCAUCAAUGAAUCAACAGCAGAAAACGGAAAUAAAAGCACUGAACAAGAAAACCAAGGACCAAAAACACAGUCAGUCUGGAUGAUGAUAUUCAUCUGUGUUUUUCUGUUACUUGCAUCAAUUGUUCUGUCUGUAGCCUAUUUUAUGUUUAAAUGGAGAAACAGAGCUCAAGCUGCCUCAGAAGGAACAGUGACAAACUUUUAGUUACUUUUAGCUAAAUUAGUACAGCUUUCAUUGUUUCUUUCUGGUGCACACUACUGUUAAGGCAUGUAUUACAAGUAUUAAACUUUUUGUUCUGUUAUAUACAGUAUGUUGUGUUUUGCCAGAAUAAAGUUUCCUGGCAAUGUAAAACUAUUAAAAGGGGAAACCUCUUUAUUUAGAUGAGGUUACUAACACAAUUAAUAAUCUUAAACUGAACAUGUUUCCAAGACUGAACAGUUUUCUUCUGAAAUUCACAGAUUUUGCUAAAAAUGAGUUUGCUAAACUUUUAGAUACUUUCCUUUGUGUAUUUUCAUACCAAGUAUUAUGAUGGCUUCUCUUCACCUGCACUUACUCAAGGCCUUAUUAUGUUACUCCAAACACUAUUUGUCUAAAUAAAUGCAACCUUUGUUUUUAGUGUCUUAAA